RNAcentral lists this ribosomal RNA (460 nucleotides) under uncultured bacterium. Its description in RNAcentral is "partial 16S ribosomal RNA". It matches the Rfam family "Bacterial small subunit ribosomal RNA", at positions 338 to 795 of the family's 1533-position model. The record is from RNAcentral.
CCUACGGGUGGCAGCAGUGAGGAAUAUUGGUCAAUGGACGAGAGUCUGAACCAGCCAAGUAGCGUGAAGGAUGACUGCCCUAUGGGUUGUAAACUUCUUUUAUAAAGGAAUAAAACGAGGCACGUGUGCCUUUUUGCAUGUACUUUAUGAAUAAGGAUCGGCUAACUCCGUGCCAGCAGCCGCGGUAAUACGGAGGAUCCGAGCGUUAUCCGGGUUUGUUGGGUUUAAAGGGAGCGUAGAUGGGUUGUUAAGUCAGUUGUGAAAGUUUGCGGCUCAAACGUAAAAUUGCAAUUGAUACUGGCAGUGUUGAGUACAGUUGAGGUAGGCGGAAUGAGUGGUGUAGCGGUGAAAUGCGUAGAUAUCACGAAGAACUCCGAUUGCGAAGGCAGCAUACCGGCGCCCAACUGACGCUGAAGCACGAAAGCGUGGGUAUCGAACAGGAUUAGAUACCCGUGUAGUC